This 2866-nucleotide ribosomal RNA is filed under the name Xanthomonas vasicola pv. musacearum NCPPB 4381. Its description in RNAcentral is "bacterial LSU rRNA". It matches the Rfam family "Bacterial large subunit ribosomal RNA". The record is from RNAcentral. Lineage: Bacteria; Pseudomonadati; Pseudomonadota; Gammaproteobacteria; Lysobacterales; Lysobacteraceae.
AGCGCACACGGUGGAUGCCUAGGCGGUCAGAGGCGAUGAAGGACGUGGUAGCCUGCGAAAAGUGUCGGGGAGCUGGCAACAAGCUUUGAUCCGGCAAUAUCCGAAUGGGGAAACCCACUGCUUCGGCAGUAUCCUGCAGUGAAUUCAUAGCUGCUGGAAGCGAACCCGGUGAACUGAAAUAUCUAAGUAACCGGAGGAAAAGAAAUCAACCGAGAUUCCCUAAGUAGUGACGAGCGAACGGGGAGCAGCCCUUAAGCUGGAAUGGCUUUAGAAAAACAAUCUGGAAAGAUUGGCCAUAGAAGGUGAUAGCCCUGUAUUUAAAAGGGCCACUCCAGUGAAGACGAGUAGGGCGGGGCACGUGAAACCCUGUCUGAAUAUGGGGGGACCAUCCUCCAAGGCUAAAUACUCCUGACCGACCGAUAGUGAACCAGUACCGUGAGGGAAAGGCGAAAAGAACCCCGGAGAGGGGAGUGAAAUAGAUCCUGAAACCGUGUGCGUACAAGCAGUAGGAGCUCGCAAGAGUGACUGCGUACCUUUUGUAUAAUGGGUCAGCGACUUACUGUUCGUGGCAAGCUUAACCGUAUAGGGGAGGCGAAGGGAAACCGAGUCUGAUAAGGGCGCAUAGUCGCGGGCAGUAGACCCGAAACCGGGUGAUCUAGUCAUGGCCAGGGUGAAGGUGCCGUAACAGGUACUGGAGGCCCGAACCCACGUCUGUUGCAAAAGACGGGGAUGAGCUGUGAUUAGGAGUGAAAAGCUAAUCGAACCCGGAGAUAGCUGGUUCUCCUCGAAAGCUAUUUAGGUAGCGCCUCGGACGAAUACUACUGGGGGUAGAGCACUGUUAUGGCUAGGGGGUCAUCGCGACUUACCAAACCAUUGCAAACUCCGAAUACCAGUACGUACUAUCCGGGAGACACACGGCGGGUGCUAACGUCCGUCGUGAAAAGGGAAACAACCCAGACCCACAGCUAAGGUCCCAAAUUCACUGCUAAGUGGAAAACGAUGUGGAAAGGCAUAGACAGCCAGGAGGUUGGCUUAGAAGCAGCCACCCUUUAAAGAAAGCGUAAUAGCUCACUGGUCGAGUCGGUCUGCGCGGAAGAUUUAACGGGGCUAAGCAGUGAACCGAAGCUUGGGGUGCAUAAAACUUGUUUUAUGCGCGGUAGAGGAGCGUUCCGUAAGCCUGCGAAGGUGGAUUGAGAAGUCUGCUGGAGGUAUCGGAAGUGCGAAUGCUGACAUGAGUAACGAUAAUGCGGGUGAAAAGCCCGCACGCCGAAAGCCCAAGGUUUCCUUGCGCAACGUUAAUCGACGCAGGGUUAGUCGGUCCCUAAGGCGAGGGCGAAAGCCGUAGUCGAUGGGAAGCAGGUUAAUAUUCCUGCACCUCGCGUGAGUGCGAUGGAGGGACGGAGAAGGUUAGGUGUACCGGGCGUUGGUUGUCCCGGGGAAAGGCGGUAGGUUUGGAUCUUUGGCAAAUCCGGGAUCCUUUAAGACCGAGCACCGAGACGAGCCUUUAUGGCGAAGUCACUGAUACCACGCUUCCAGGAAAAGCUCCUAAGCUUCAGCUCACGAAGACCGUACCGUAAACCGACACAGGUGGGUAGGAUGAGAAUUCUCAGGCGCUUGAGAGAACUCGGGUGAAGGAACUAGGCAACAUGGCACCGUAACUUCGGGAGAAGGUGCACCCUUUUUGGUGGCUCAUGCGAGCUAUAGCUGAAGAGGGUCGCAGAAACCAGGCCGCUGCGACUGUUUAUCAAAAACACAGCACUCUGCAAACACGAAAGUGGACGUAUAGGGUGUGACGCCUGCCCGGUGCUGGAAGGUUAAUUGAUGGGGUCAGCCGCAAGGCGAAGCUCUUGAUCGAAGCCCCAGUAAACGGCGGCCGUAACUAUAACGGUCCUAAGGUAGCGAAAUUCCUUGUCGGGUAAGUUCCGACCUGCACGAAUGGCGUAACGACAGCGGCGCUGUCUCCACCCGAGACUCAGUGAAAUUGAAAUCGCUGUGAAGAUGCAGCGUUCCCGUGGCAAGACGGAAAGACCCCGUGAACCUUUACUAUAGCUUUACACUGAACGUUGAGUUCGUCUGUGUAGGAUAGGUGGGAGGCUAUGAAACUGUGGCGCUAGCUGCAGUGGAGCCAUCCUUGAAAUACCACCCUGUCGUGCUUGACGUUCUAACCUAGGUCCGUUAUCCGGAUCAGGGACCGUGUAUGGUGGGUAGUUUGACUGGGGCGGUCUCCUCCUAAAGAGUAACGGAGGAGCACGAAGGUACGCUCAGCGCGGUCGGACAUCGCGCACUGUGUGCAAAGGCAUAAGCGUGCUUGACUGCAAGAUCGACGGAUCAAGCAGGUACGAAAGUAGGUCUUAGUGAUCCGGUGGUUCUGUAUGGAAGGGCCAUCGCUCAACGGAUAAAAGGUACUCCGGGGAUAACAGGCUGAUACCGCCCAAGAGUUCAUAUCGACGGCGGUGUUUGGCACCUCGAUGUCGGCUCAUCACAUCCUGGGGCUGUAGUCGGUCCCAAGGGUAUGGCUGUUCGCCAUUUAAAGUGGUACGCGAGCUGGGUUCAGAACGUCGUGAGACAGUUCGGUCCCUAUCUGCCAUGGGCGUUGGAAGUUUGAGAGGGGCUGCUCCUAGUACGAGAGGACCGGAGUGGACGAACCUCUGGUGUUCCGGUUGUCACGCCAGUGGCAUUGCCGGGUAGCUAUGUUCGGAAGCGAUAACCGCUGAAAGCAUCUAAGCGGGAAGCGCGCCUCAAGAUGAGACUUCCCGGGGCACAAGCCCCCUAAAGGAACCAUGUAGACUACGUGGUUGAUAGGUCAGGUGUGUAAGUACAGCAAUGUAUUGAGCUAACUGAUACUAAUGAUCCGUGCGGCUUGACC